Molecule: ribosomal RNA, 237 nt
Filed under: uncultured bacterium
Lineage: Bacteria
Description: partial 16S ribosomal RNA
Rfam family: Bacterial small subunit ribosomal RNA
Source: RNAcentral
CCGGCACGGGUGAGUAACACGUAUCCAACCUGCCGUCUACUCUUGGACAGCCUUCUGAAAGGAAGAUUAAUACAAGAUGGCAUCAUGAGUUCACAUGUUCACAUGGUUAAAGGUAUUCCGGUAGACGAUGGGGAUGCGUUCCAUUAGAUAGUAGGCGGGGUAACGGCCCACCUAGUCUUCGAUGGAUAGGGGUUCUGAGAGGAAGGUCCCCCACAUUGGAACUGAGACACGGUCCAA